CCGGAGCUAAUACCGGAUAAUAUAUUGAACCGCAUGGUUCAAUAGUGAAAGACGGUUUUGCUGUCACUUAUAUAUGGAUCCGCGCCGCAUUAGCUAGUUGGUAAGGUAACGGCUUACCAAGGCAACGAUGCGUAGCCGACCUGAGAGGGUGAUCGGCCACACUGGAACUGAGACACGGUCCAG
This 183-nucleotide ribosomal RNA is filed under the name uncultured Staphylococcus sp. RNAcentral's name for it is "partial 16S ribosomal RNA". It matches the Rfam family "Bacterial small subunit ribosomal RNA", at positions 157 to 334 of the family's 1533-position model. The record is from RNAcentral. Lineage: Bacteria; Bacillati; Bacillota; Bacilli; Caryophanales; Staphylococcaceae.